Long non-coding RNA from Oncorhynchus gorbuscha (pink salmon), 671 nucleotides. RefSeq lists it as uncharacterized. The record is from RefSeq and is a predicted model, not a curated record. NCBI's taxonomy places the organism in Eukaryota, Metazoa, Chordata, Actinopteri, Salmoniformes, Salmonidae. The transcript has 3 exons.
AAGGCAUGUGUGGUAAAUGAAUCGAAAGUGCCCAUUUGAAGAGACGCACAUCUUUUUGGUUUCAAAUGACCCAUGCAGAGACACACACUCCUCCCUUUUUGUUUUUGAAACACACACACUCACACUCGCAUGCAUAUCCGCACACGUCUUUUCAGAUUUUUUUUCUUCUCCGACACAUGCAUGGUUAUAGAGCGAAAAGAGAGAACACCUUUGUUAAAGCUACAGACCAGGGCGAGAGAGAAAACGAGAGAUUCCCGUUCGUUAAAGGAUAGAGGGCCUGGUUAGCCCUGACCGGCAUCCGUCUCCAAUUCAUCCUCGUCAAGAAGGGCUCUCUUGCUCGCAGGAUAUCCCACACACGACCCAUCAAGGCUCCGUAAGUUUUCACUCCAGGGAUAGAUCAAACGUCUGGCAUGUAGAUCCUCGGUAUGUCUAAAGGAUAGACGUGGUCAACGCCGUAAUUAUUCACGAUUUUGGAAGAGACUGUCCAGCUUAUUCAUCAGGGUUAUGAAAAUGGGAUAAUCAAUCCAUUUAAAGCUAAACUCUGGCAUAAAAAAAUGUACAUCCUUGCAGGCUUUGGAAAAUACAUAUGAACUGACAGACUUCGUCGCAUUUGUACUAUCAAAUUGUUCACAUGCUAAAAUUGUCACUUUAGAGUCAGGGAUUCUUAGGGC